RNAcentral lists this ribosomal RNA (440 nucleotides) under uncultured bacterium. Its description in RNAcentral is "partial 16S ribosomal RNA". It matches the Rfam family "Bacterial small subunit ribosomal RNA", at positions 338 to 795 of the family's 1533-position model. The record is from RNAcentral.
CCUACGGGUGGCAGCAGUGGGGGAUAUUGCACAAUGGGCGAAAGCCUGAUGCAGCGACGCCGCGUGAGGGAAGACGGUCUUCGGAUUGUAAACCUCUGUCUUUGGGGAAGAAAUCAGACGGUACCCAAAGAGGAAGCUCCGGCUAACUACGUGCCAGCAGCCGCGGUAAUACGUAGGGAGCGAGCGUUGUCCGGAAUUACUGGGUGUAAAGGGAGCGUAGGCGGGCUUGUAAGUUGAAUGUCUAAUCCACCGGCUCAACCGGUGAUCGCGUUCAAAACUGCAGGUCUUGAGUGAAGUAGAGGCAGGCGGAAUUCCUAGUGUAGCGGUGAAAUGCGUAGAUAUUAGGAGGAACACCAGUGGCGAAGGCGGCCUGCUGGGCUUUAACUGACGCUGAGGCUCGAAAGCGUGGGGAGCAAACAGGAUUAGAUACCCCUGUAGUC